Molecule: RNA transcript, 757 nt
Organism: Plectropomus leopardus (leopard coralgrouper)
Lineage: Eukaryota; Metazoa; Chordata; Actinopteri; Perciformes; Serranidae
Source: RefSeq, a predicted model, not a curated record
ACGACAGCGCCGCCCUGAGAUCAGCAGGAGCGCACACCUGAAGAUCCGGCUCCAGAACCCCCAGAACUGGAGGAUGUCAGAUGGGACUGUGUGAAGCUGCAGAGAGCAGGCUGAAACUCGGAAUUUGUCUGCAUGUCUUCAUCUAAUGGGAUCUACGAAGCCUCCCCCUGGCAUGAUUCCCAAAAUGUAAUACUUCUAUUCACCAGCUGACUCCAGGCCAAUUCUGUUAACUCAUUGUGUAUCAUCAUCUUACUGCUUCAAGUAAUGGCGCAACAGCUCAAGAGGUUUUCUAAACUUUUCCUCACACCAGGGUCACGCAGUUGGAUAUUCAUUAAGCCAAGCAGGAACCUGGUGCUGAAGGGAUUUUACUUGUUAGAUAUGAUUUAUGGCAGCAGUCUGACCUCCUGCUGCUGGAUUCAGUCACACGCACUCUAAUCAUUUGAUUAUAACCAGAGGAAAGCAAUGCUGCAAGUCUGACUUAUUGGACUUGCGUGACGAUUCAACUGUAAUUAAAGGAACAUGGAUUUGCAUUUGUCGAUGUUUCAGACGACUCUUGGAUUAUAGUCUGGUUUCUUCGUGUGUUUUGAUUCUUUGUCACAAAAGAGAUGCAAAGCAAGAUGUGAAAAACAGACCAGCGUGGCAAGUUGUGGGAAACUUUAGGGUUUAACAGUGAAAUUGAUAAGAAUGUGACACUACAAUAAUGUGCUCCGUGAAGUCAUAAAUGCCAGAAACAAUAAAAAGCAACAAAAUUCCUUCA